RNAcentral lists this ribosomal RNA (497 nucleotides) under uncultured bacterium. RNAcentral describes it as "partial 16S ribosomal RNA". It matches the Rfam family "Bacterial small subunit ribosomal RNA", at positions 28 to 507 of the family's 1533-position model. The record is from RNAcentral.
GAUGAACGCUGGCGGCGUGCCUAAUACAUGCAAGUCGAGCGAACAGACGAGGAGCUUGCUCCUCUGACGUUAGCGGCGGACGGGUGAGUAACACGUGGAUACCCUACCUAUAAGACUGGGAUAACUUCGGGAAACCGGAGCUAAUACCGGAUAAUAUAUUGAACCGCAUGGUUCAAUAGUGAAAGACGGUUUUGCUGUCACUUAUAGAUGGAUCCGCGCCAGAUUAGCUAGUUGGUCAGGUAACGGCUUACCAAGGCAACGAUGCGUAGCCGACCUGAGAGGGUGAUCGGCCACACUGGAACUGAGACACGGUCCAGACUCCUACGGGAGGCAGCAGUAGGGAAUCUUCCGCAAUGGGCGAAAGCCUGACGGAGCAACGCCGCGUGAGUGAUGAAGGUCUUCGGAUCGUAAAACUCUGUUAUUAGGGAAGAACAAAUGUGUAAGUAACUAUGCACGUCUUGACGGUACCGAAUCAGAAAGCCACGGCUAACUACGUG